UCAUCUAAAGGAAUUAUAUUUUACAUUAAAAACAAAAAUCGAACUGAAACUGAUAAACUAUACACUAACAUGAUACAAAAAGAUGAAAGUUUGAAGCUAAUCAUACCAUACAAAUUGAAGAGCAAAUAAUCACAUAAUAAAGUGAUCAAGAAGAUAUUUCCACACCUAGAAAAUCUAUGAAGGGAAGAUUUUUCUUAGGGAUUGAUUGCUCGUCUUGUCGUACAAUCCUUGUUCCUUCCUUGGCACCAAUAUGCAUCAACUCUCCAUUGAUUUUACCGUGUUUUCUACUGAGAAAACGAUGAUCCAAAUAACCAAAGGAAUUUGAGACAGCAGAAUCACCAUGGAUUGAACUGUUAGAGCUAAAAUUAUAUUGGUUACUUCCUUUUCUUGCAGUAAUAUCAGCAGCAGAAGAUAAAUUAUAAGUUGUCAAAUGGCUUUUACAAGGCCAAGAUGUAUAUGAACCCGAGGAGGAGGACCCAGUAAAGAUUCUAUCUUUGUUUUGGUUGUGGAAUUCAAGAAUCCCACUGUCUGGGAAUCUAGAAUUCUUUUGUCCAACAAUAUAGGAAUGAGAGUUGGAGUCAUCUUGAGAACUUUUCUUACCAGAAAUCUUGGAUUGUUCUCUUUGUUUUCUGGCCAUAAUGACAUGCCAAUAAUUCUUAACAGCAUUGUCUGUUCUACCUGGAAAAAAUCUAGAUAUAAAUGCCCACUUAUUUCCAUGUAUUCUAUGGGCUGCAAGAAGCCUUUCUUCUUCUUCUUCAGUGAAUGGCCUCCUGUUUAUUCUUGGAUCGAGUUGAUUAAACCAUCUCAAUCUGCAACUUUUACCUGCUCGCACGUGAUAAACACAUAAUUUAAAUAAAUAAGUAUAAUAUAUGUUUAACAUCUUGAGCUUUUAAAUAAUAAAAAAUCAGCACCGUAUAAGAGGAAUAGGAUGUUUCUUCUGUUGGGAAUCUACUUAUACAUGCACAGCGGAAUUUAAAAUAAUUUUCGAUUCCCACCAAGAAUCGCCUUUGUGUUUAGAUAGAAAUUGUGAUAAGAUUGUACCUUUUUCAGAUCUGCA
Molecule: long non-coding RNA, 1057 nt
Filed under: Olea europaea subsp. europaea
Lineage: Eukaryota; Viridiplantae; Streptophyta; Magnoliopsida; Lamiales; Oleaceae
Source: RNAcentral